RNAcentral lists this long non-coding RNA (248 nucleotides) under Mytilus galloprovincialis (Mediterranean mussel). The record is from RNAcentral. Lineage: Eukaryota; Metazoa; Mollusca; Bivalvia; Mytilida; Mytilidae.
GUCUGUAGUUCUCUGUUUUUUCUUUUGUUGUUAUGUGCAUAAAUCUGGUUGUUUAUUUUUUUCAUUUGAAUUGUUUUACAUUUUGCUGUGUUGGGGCAUUUAAUAGCUUACAAUACAGUAUAAGUCUAUCCAUAGUUGAAAACAAGUCUUUGUGAAAUCAGCUGGACAUUUGGUCCUGCAAACCAUUCUUCUCAACUGAACCAGACUUGCUUUUACACAAUGUUUACACAUAUGAUUGGGAAAAACUG